UACUCAGGAUCAAACUCAGGACCUUGCGCUUGCGAGGCAGGUGUGGUGCCCCUGAGCUACAUCCCUGGCCCUCUUGUUUGUUUCUUCUAAGCCACCACCACAACAGAUAUUUUAAGGCAUUCAAUGUAAUGAAGCCAGGGAAAGAUUCCUGUAAUCUGGAAGUAAGCUGUUUCCAGUAAAAUACCUUGGUAGGAAAUCCCUGACCUGCAGUCCCUUUGGGGCAAGCGCUGUGGAGAAGUUCCUCUGUGUGAUUAUUUAGUACAUGAUCCUUGUCCCUGGAUAUCUGGUAGGACUCCUUCAGGGUUUUUCUUUUGGGAUGUGUGUAUGCAGUUGUUCCUCAAUCCAGCCCGUAUAAAUACAAGAAAUCCUGAGGAAACAAACUUUUUAGUACUUUACCA
This 398-nucleotide long non-coding RNA is filed under the name Heterocephalus glaber (naked mole-rat). RNAcentral describes it as "lncRNA (ENSHGLG00100040703.1)". The record is from RNAcentral. Lineage: Eukaryota; Metazoa; Chordata; Mammalia; Rodentia; Bathyergidae.